CAUCUUCCCCGUGAAGCCCAUCUCAUCCCAUCCCAUCCCAUCCCAUCCCACACUUGGGUUUCUGAGGCCACCAAAUCAUGAGAGCUUCCAUCCUUCUCUGCCUCCUCGCGGUCACUCUCUUCUCCUCUUCCAUUGCCACCGGUGGUGACGUCUUGACUCCCCACCGACCCAUCCUCGACGACGGCACGACCCUGAUCUCGGCCGGCGGUGCCUUCGAGCUGGGCUUCUUCAGCCCCGUCGGCUCCGACAACCGCUACGUCGGCAUAUGGUUCCACAAGGUCUCUCUGCAAACCGUCAUAUGGGUCGCCAACCGCCAGCGCCCGGUGGCCGGUCGAACCGGGAGCCUUUCCUUGGCCGCCAACGGAACACUCUUCGUUACCGACAACUCCACCGUCGUCUGGUCCUCCGGCUCGCCCGCCCUCGCCAACCCCGUGGCGCAGCUCCUCGACGACGGUAACCUCGUCGUUAUGGAGUCCGGCAGCAGCAGCAAAGACCCCAACAGCUUUGCAUGGCAGGGCUUCGACUUCCCCACCGACACGCUCCUCCCGAACAUGAAACUGGGUUGGAAUCUCACCAGCGGGCUCAACCGCAACCUCACCUCCUGGGCGAGCCUCAGCGAUCCUGCAAUCGGCAACUACACCAUGGGCGUGGACGUGGACGGCGAUCCGCAAGGAUUCCUAUGGUCCAGAGAUAGCAAGCAGUGGCGGGCGGGGUCGUGGAACGGGAUCCAGUUCAGCGGCAUCCCGGAUAUGAAGACCUACAGCCAGUUCUCCUUCGAGUUCAUCAUCAGACCCGACGAGGUCUUCUACUCCUUCUUCGUGCACGACGACUCCAUCAUCUCAAGGUUGACGGUGCUGCCGUCGGGAAUCCUGCAGCGGCUGGUUUGGAUCGAACACAGCAAGCUAUGGAGCGUGUUCUGGUUCGCGCCCAGGGACCAAUGCGACUAUGUUUCGCCGUGUGGUCCCAACGGCGUCUGCGAUUCCAAUAACUCGCCCAUAUGCGAGUGCCUCCAUGGUUUCCGGCCCAAGAACCCCACCAACUGGGAUCUCAGGGACGGAUCGGACGGCUGCGUGAGGGAGACGGCACUGGACUGCCGGAACGGGACCGAUGGGUUCAACCAGCUGAGCAACGCCAAGCUCCCGGACACGUCGAGAGCAGUGGUCAACAGGAGCCUGAACCUGCAACAGUGCAGGGAUGCGUGUUCGAGGAAUUGCUCGUGCACAGGCUAUGCCGCUGCCAGCUUCAACUCCAGCGGGAUUUGGAAUGGCUGCAUCAUGUGGACGACCCAUCUCACCGAUCUCAGGGUGUAUGUCAGUGGCGGACAGGAUCUCUAUGUCAGGGUAGCAGCCGCCGAUUUAGAUCAAUCGGACUCGGAAACAAAACAUUCUCACCGGACUCGCGUGUUCGUGAUCGUCGUCGCCGUCCUUGCUCCGGCGAUUCUACUCGCAGCUUGUGUGGCUUGCUGCGUUGGGAGGAAGAAGAUGAUAAUGAUGAGGAGAGCUACGUCCGGUACCAAAUCACUGUCGGGGCACCAUAUCGACGACGGAGCAGAAGGCAAGGACUUGGACCUACCACUGUUUGAUUUGGGCACGAUCGCGGAUGCCACCGACAACUUCUCCAUUCAUAACAAGCUCGGCGAGGGUGGAUAUGGUCCGGUGUACAAGGGCAAACUGGAGGAGGAACAAGAAGUGGCCAUAAAGAGGCUAUCCAAGACGUCGAUGCAAGGCCUGGACGAGUUCAAGAACGAGGUGACUGUGAUCGCUAAGUUGCAACACCGAAACCUCGUUCGGCUUCUUGGCUGCUGCAUUCAAGCAGGGGAAAGGGUGUUGAUCUACGAGUACAUGCCCAAUGGAAGCUUGGACGCCUUCCUAUUCGAUAAAGUUAAAGGUGAAUUAUUGAACUGGCGAAGCCGGUACACCAUCAUCGUGGGGAUCGCCCGAGGCCUCCUCUACCUCCAUGAAGAUUCCAGACUAAGGAUCAUCCACAGGGAUCUCAAGGCCAGCAACAUUCUUCUCGACAAGGACAUGAACCCUAAGAUUUCGGACUUCGGCAUGGCCAGAAUAUUUGGAGGGGAUGAGACGGAAGUAAAUACCAUGAGAGUGGUGGGAACAUACGGUUACAUGUCGCCUGAAUACGCCAUGGACGGAAUCUUCUCGGUGAAAUCUGACGUGUUCAGCUUCGGCGUGCUGGUGCUCGAGAUCGUAAGCGGCAAAAGGAACCGCGGCGUUUAUUACUCCGGUCGCCACCUAAAUCUUCUGGCAUACACGUGGAGUCUCUGGAAAGAAGACAGAGUGCUGGAAAUGGUGGACGAAUCGAUCGGGGAGUCCUUCCCCACGGAUGAAGUGUUGAGGUGCAUAAAGAUCGGGCUUUUAUGCGUUCAAGAGAUGCCAGAAGACAGACCGACGAUGUCUUCAGUGGCGUUGAUGUUGGGGAGCGACGGUGCUCUCCUGCCGCAACCUGCUCACCCAGGUUUUGUGUCGGCCAGGUGCCCGAUCGAAAUGGAUUCAUCGAUAAGUAAGCAGGAGUCGAUGUCCAUAAACAACGUAUCGGUCACAAUGUUCGAAGGUCGGUAGAUCAACUAAAACGUACCUAUAGUGUUAAGAUUAUAUGGAGGUUGGUUUUUAAUUGUAAGGUGUUGUAGAGUGAAGGUCGGUACGUAUAACAUGUAUCGGACACACGAACGUGAGAGGAGGAGCCACCAACAUCGAUCGAUUCAGCCGGAGCUGAAGCGAGAUAGAUACGACGUUGCCUAAAUGCGUUGUGCUGCGCUGUGCUGUACUUGAUAAUGUCGUGACGACCGAAAGCCAUGUCGGAGUCGAUGGCACAGACACUCGAAAGAACAAAGCUGCGUCACGUCCGUGCAAGUGCUAAAGGAAAAGUUACUGGCAACCAAAGUUGGGAGCUGCCACAGGUCACAUGCAUUCUAUGCUGCCACAAGCUCACUUAUUUGGAAUCUGUCUGUCAACCUUUUUGUAGCCGCUUGGUGUUUGUGUUUGUGUCGUCCGCAGCAGUCAUCGGAAUCUACAUGGAAGGCUGCUAUCGGACGGCUCGUUCGCAUUGGUCGAAGCGGAUAGGAAACUCGUGGCCGGUGGACCGCUGAUGACACAGCGCACCCACCGAUAUGGUAAUGUGUAUGUAAUGUAUCAAAGUGACCGAUGGAGGUCGUCAUCUCGUGGAAAUUCCACAAGUGCAAGCCACGUGGAUACAUUUCGUGUUCCGUUGGCCCACAGGGGAAAGGGAAAGAAGGAAGCUUUCUUUGGACUCUUUCGAUUGGAAUCGCAAUGGAUAAAAAUGGCUGUAAAUUUUAGAAAGGAUAAUACGGUGAGUUGGAAGCAUCA
Molecule: RNA transcript, 3338 nt
Organism: Musa acuminata AAA Group (dessert banana)
Lineage: Eukaryota; Viridiplantae; Streptophyta; Magnoliopsida; Zingiberales; Musaceae
Gene name: receptor-like serine/threonine-protein kinase SD1-8
Exons: 8
Source: RefSeq, a predicted model, not a curated record